This 102-nucleotide ribosomal RNA is filed under the name Lepisosteus oculatus (spotted gar). The record is from RNAcentral. Lineage: Eukaryota; Metazoa; Chordata; Actinopteri; Semionotiformes; Lepisosteidae.
GCCAUAUCACCCUGCAGCUCUCAACUGGCUACCCACUGAAGCUAAGCAGGGUUGAGCCUGGUCAGUACCUGGAUGGGAGACCUUCUGGAAAGCUAUGGUUGC